GCCGACGCCAACACUAUCUUCGAUCUGAUGAAUUCAAUGGAAUUAAAGGAAACUAAACCCUAAGGGGGAUAAUAUCUAGUAAACCCAAGGGGUCUAAUCACAAACAUUAAUUGAAUCGAAACUUUCCAUUCGUCUUCAAAUCUAAACCAAAUUUGUGAAUUACAUGUUCCCGAUCUUAUCAUCAACUUACCAUCAUCUUCUUCUUCUACUUGCUUCUCACCACCGUGCAAACCACCAUUGUCACCGGAUCUCUUCAUCCCAACCAUCUAAUUUCCAGUAUCGACUUCUGCGUGUCGUCUCCUCAUCGUCACCACCAUCUCGAUCACCGGAUUUGUCAUCGUUUUCACAAUUUCGUUCUCCGAAGUUCAUCAUCGUCACCAUCAUCUCCACAAAUCGUUGUUGACACGUUGUCACAGAGAACUCAGAGUCUAAAUCGAAAUGUCAUCAAAGCUUCUCGUCACUGGGUGUAAGGGUAAAAAAAAAAGAUAUUUUGGUAUAAAAAAAAUACCUAAAUCAUCAAGUAUGGACAAAAUAACCGGAUCCGAUAAUUUAUGUCGGAAUAAAGUCCAAUCCGGUAAUUGAUUUUUUUUUAUAAACUCACUAAAAUUGAGUGGAUAAAAAUUAGUUGGUUCUCAAAUCCCUAGAUUUUUUAUUUUGAAAACGUGAAUUUGUUAGUAAUUUGUCAAAAAACAUGAAUUAUUAUUAGUAGUCUUUUUUUUUUUUCGUCUGAAGUUUUAUUAAUAAACCAAGAGAGUUACAAGAUGGAAUACAUAAGCCGGCAGACGACAUGAAUGUCCCCAGAAACAUUUGCCCAAAAGAGGGAAACAAAGCCCUAAAGUACAGGGAAACUGAUUAAAACCAAACAUAGAAACAAAAAUUUAAAGAGGAAACAAACGUCAUGGAGAAAGAGCA
RNAcentral lists this long non-coding RNA (912 nucleotides) under Arabidopsis lyrata. RNAcentral's name for it is "long non-coding RNA (ALYR_LNC000028)". Lineage: Eukaryota; Viridiplantae; Streptophyta; Magnoliopsida; Brassicales; Brassicaceae. The record is from RNAcentral.